UACGGAGGGUGCGAGCGUUGUCCGGAAUUAUUGGGCGUAAAGAGCUUGUAGGCGGUUUGUCGCGUCUGCUGUGAAAUUUCGGGGCUCAACCCCGAACUUGCAGUGGGUACGGGCAGGCUAGAGUGUGGUAGGGGAGACUGGAAUUCCUGGUGUAGCGGUGAAAUGCGCAGAUAUCAGGAGGAACACCGAUGGCGAAGGCAGGUCUCUGGGCCACUACUGACGCUGAGAAGCGAAAGCAUGGGGAGCGAACAGG
This 253-nucleotide ribosomal RNA is filed under the name uncultured bacterium. RNAcentral's name for it is "partial 16S ribosomal RNA". It matches the Rfam family "Bacterial small subunit ribosomal RNA", at positions 524 to 776 of the family's 1533-position model. The record is from RNAcentral.